RNAcentral lists this ribosomal RNA (497 nucleotides) under uncultured bacterium. RNAcentral's name for it is "partial 16S ribosomal RNA". It matches the Rfam family "Bacterial small subunit ribosomal RNA", at positions 28 to 507 of the family's 1533-position model. The record is from RNAcentral.
GAUGAACGCUGGCGGCGUGCCUAAUACAUGCAAGUCGAGCGAACGGACGAGAAGCUUGCUUCUCUGAUGUUAGCGGCGGACGGGUGAGUAACACGUGGAUAACCUACCUAUAAGACUGGGAUAACUUCGGGAAACCUUAGCUAAUACCGGAUAAUAUUUUGAACCGCAUGGUUCAUAAGUGAAAGACGGUCUUGCUGUCACUUAUAGAUGGAUCCGCGCUGCAUUAGCUAGUUGGUAAGGUAACGGCUUACCAAGGCAACGAUGCAUAGCCGACCUGAGAGGGUGAUCGGCCACACUGGAACUGAGACACGGUCCAGACUCCUACGGGAGGCAGCAGUAGGGAAUCUUCCGCAAUGGGCGAAAGCCUGACGGAGCAACGCCGCGUGAGUGAUGAAGGUCUUCGGAUCGUAAAACUCUGUUAUUAGGGAAGAACAUAUGUGUAAGUAACUGUGCACAUCUUGACGGUACCUAAUCAGAAAGCCACGGCUAACUACGUG